GGGCCCGCACAAGCGGUGGAGCAUGUGGUUUAAUUCGAUGAUACGCGAGGAACCUUACCAGGGCUUAAAUGCAGAACGACCGGCGUGGAAACAUGCCUUUCUUCGGACGGACUGCAAGGUGCUGCAUGGUCGUCGUCAGCUCGUGCCGUGAGGUGUCGGGUUAAGUCCCAUAACGAGCGCAACCCCUAUCUUUAGUUGCCAGCGGAUAAUGCCGGGGACUCUAGAGAAACUGCCAGCGUAAGCUGUGAGGAAGGUGGGGAUGACGUCAGAUCAUCACGGCCCUUACGUCCUGGGCUACACACGUGCUACAAUGGCAAGGACAAUGAGCUGCCAACCCGCGAGGGUGAGCAAA
This 352-nucleotide ribosomal RNA is filed under the name uncultured bacterium. Its description in RNAcentral is "bacterial SSU rRNA". It matches the Rfam family "Bacterial small subunit ribosomal RNA", at positions 917 to 1271 of the family's 1533-position model. The record is from RNAcentral.